AUAAAAAAUAUAUAAAAUAAUAAAAAAAUGAAAAAAAGGACGUCAAACUUCACAUCAAGCCUAACAAUGGUGCGCAUUUAGCCAGUGUCGCCUUAAAAAUAUAAAGAAAACUUUACAAUAUAGCAGAAAAUAUUCCGAGCACAUAGCUUCAUGCAAAGGAGCGAAGUGCGAGAGAGAAGCAGCAGAAGUGCGUGUUCAUUAGACAACCAUUGUGUGGAUGAUGCGUAUACCCUGUGAAUUGGGUAUCUCUCUUUGUGUGUGUGUGUGUGCGACUUCCGGAGUCGCUGACAUUGGACUGCCUGAUUAUAUUCAUACGCCCUGUGUGCCGAGUGCAACAUUUGCCAGCAUCAAAUGCGGCUCCUUGUUGACUUUCAUUAGCUUCAAUUACGCCGAGUCGAGCACUCGUAUGUCCGGCGCAUAGCUCAGACGACAAAUCAAAUGCAGUUCCAGUUGCAGUUCCACUUGCCACUUGCACCAAUUGUUGUCACACGUAAACUUUUCAAAUCGUUUGCCAGCCCAUAACUGCCCACUCCCUCACCCCCCAGACCCCUCCGUGCUGCCCACAUGUCAUUUGAAGCCCAGUCGUUGUCGUUGUCGUUGUCGUUGCUGUCGCUGCAGCCGCCUGUGUUUGGUUUACGUGCUUAAAUUGGCAAUUAGCAGAUUAAUUGUCACUGGCAAUAUAUGCGUCAAUAUAUAUUGUGCAACCGAUGCACCACAGUGGGUGAAAUUAUUAGCUGGCAAUACAGUACAAAGCUCUUGAAUAUAAAACUGAUUUUUACAAUAACUUUGAAAGUUUGUUAUUGAAA
This is a long non-coding RNA of Drosophila novamexicana, 806 nucleotides long. RefSeq lists it as uncharacterized. The transcript is spliced from 2 exons. The record is from RefSeq and is a predicted model, not a curated record. Lineage: Eukaryota; Metazoa; Arthropoda; Insecta; Diptera; Drosophilidae.